RNAcentral lists this ribosomal RNA (440 nucleotides) under uncultured bacterium. RNAcentral describes it as "partial 16S ribosomal RNA". It matches the Rfam family "Bacterial small subunit ribosomal RNA", at positions 338 to 795 of the family's 1533-position model. The record is from RNAcentral.
CCUACGGGAGGCAGCAGUGGGGGAUAUUGCACAAUGGGGGAAACCCUGAUGCAGCGACGCCGCGUGUAGGAAGACGGUCCUCUGGAUUGUAAACUACUGUCCCCAGGGACGAAGAUGACGGUACCUGGGGAGGAAGCUCCGGCUAACUACGUGCCAGCAGCCGCGGUAAUACGUAGGGAGCGAGCGUUGUCCGGAAUUACUGGGUGUAAGGGGAGCGUAGGCGGGGAUGCAAGUUGGGUGUUAAAUCUACCGGCUCAACUGGUAGUCGCACUCAGAACUGCAGCCCUUGAGUGAAGUGGAGGCAGGCGGAAUUCCUAGUGUAGCGGUGAAAUGCGUAGAUAUUAGGAGGAACACCAGUGGCGAAGGCGGCCUGCUGGGCUUUUACUGACGCUGAGGCUCGAAAGUGUGGGGAGCAAACAGGAUUAGAUACCCCAGUAGUC